GAGCGGUAAGGCCCUUCGGGGUACACGAGCGGCGAACGGGUGAGUAACACGUGGGUGACCUGCCUCUAGCUCUGGGAUAAGCCUGGGAAACUGGGUCUAAUACUGGAUAUGACUCCACGGCGCAUGUUGUGGGGUGGAAAGCCUUGUGUGGCUAGAGAUGGGCCCGCGGCCUAUCAGCUUGUUGGUGGGGUGAUGGCCUACCAAGGCGACGACGGGUAGCCGGCCUGAGAGGGUGACCGGCCACACUGGGACUGAGACACGGCCCAGACUCCUACGGGAGGCAGCAGUGGGGAAUCUUGCGCAAUGGGCGAAAGCCUGACGCAGCGACGCCGCGUGAGGGAUGACGGCCUUCGGGUUGUAAACCUCUUUCAGCCCUGACGAAGCGAAAGUGACGGUAGGGGCAGAAGAAGCACCGGCCAACUACGUG
RNAcentral lists this ribosomal RNA (427 nucleotides) under uncultured bacterium. RNAcentral describes it as "bacterial SSU rRNA". It matches the Rfam family "Bacterial small subunit ribosomal RNA", at positions 64 to 507 of the family's 1533-position model. The record is from RNAcentral.